ACUACGGGUGGCAGCAGUGAGGAAUAUUGGUCCAUGGGCGGGAGCCUGAACCAGCCAAGUCGCGUGAGGGACGACGGUCCUAUGGAUUGUAAACCUCUUUUGUCGGGGAACAAAGGCGCCCACGGGUGGGCGGAUGAGUGUACCCGAAGAAAAAGCAUCGGCUAACUACGUGCCAGCAGCCGCGGUAAUACGGGGGAUGCGAUAGUUAUCCGGAUUUAUUGGGUUUAAAGGGUGCCUUGGCGGACAGUCAAGUCAGCGGUAAAGAUGCGGUGCUCAACGCCGUACAGCCGUUGAAACUGGCAGUCUUGAGUGGGCGAGAAGUGUGCGGAAUGCGUGGUGUAGCGGUGAAAUGCAUAGAUAUCACGCAGAACUCCGAUUGCGAAGGCAGCAUACCGGCGCCCGACUGACGCUGAGGCACGAAAGCGUGGGUAUCGAACAGGAUUAGAUACCCGUGUAAUC
This 459-nucleotide ribosomal RNA is filed under the name uncultured bacterium. Its description in RNAcentral is "partial 16S ribosomal RNA". It matches the Rfam family "Bacterial small subunit ribosomal RNA", at positions 338 to 795 of the family's 1533-position model. The record is from RNAcentral.